GUUUAUUCUUUAGUUUUCUAUGUUGUGUUAUGUGUGCUAUUGUUUGUCUGUUUGUCCUUUUCAUUUUUAGCCAUGUCGUUGUCAGUUUAUUGUCGAUUUAUGAGUUUGACUGUCCCGCUGGUAUCUUUCGUCCCCCUUUUAAUGCGAACGUAUAGAGGCUUUGAGUUUUUUAAAACCCAAAUAUGUUACGCUACAUUUCAGUAAUAUUUUAUGCAUGUAUUAAAGUGC
This 228-nucleotide long non-coding RNA is filed under the name Mytilus galloprovincialis (Mediterranean mussel). Lineage: Eukaryota; Metazoa; Mollusca; Bivalvia; Mytilida; Mytilidae. The record is from RNAcentral.